Long non-coding RNA from Acyrthosiphon pisum (pea aphid), 637 nucleotides. RefSeq lists it as uncharacterized. Lineage: Eukaryota; Metazoa; Arthropoda; Insecta; Hemiptera; Aphididae. The transcript has 4 exons. The record is from RefSeq and is a predicted model, not a curated record.
CAGCGAGAUUCAACCACAGUAUUUUUGUUGACUUUUUUCGUGUUUGACAAAGACGUUAUUUGAUAUCGAGGCAGUUCUGGAAUUGUACCAGCACCCUCGAUAUCCCAAUUUCAAUCUUCCGAAACCAACAAGAUUAAAAGUACCUAGACGGAAACCCAUACAAAUGCAAGGAAGAAUUUUAUAAUUUAAGUUAAAUAUUGUAUUGAAAAUUUCAAAUUAAGCGGUACAUCACAAAUGAAUCUACACAAAGUCAAGAUUACCCUUGGAGUUGCAUUUUUCUUAAAAAUAUAUCAGAACGUUUCAACGAUCAUCUAUCAUUCAAGCAGCAGGAUUCACGUAGACAAAAUGCAUUGUACACAGCGAGAUUCAACCACAGUAUUUUUGUUGACUUUUUUCGUGUUUGACAAAGACGUUAUUUGAUAUCAAGGCAGUUCUGGAAUUGUACCAGCACCCUCGAUAUCCCAAUUUCAAUCUUCCGAAACCAACAAGAUUAAAAGUACCUAGACGGAAACCCAUACAAAUACAACGAAGAAUUUUAUAAUUUAAGUUAAAUAUUGUAUUGAAAAUUUCAAAUUAAGCGGUACAUCACAAAUGAAUCUACACAAAGUCAAGAUUAGCCCAGGAGUUGCAUUUUUCU